This 1043-nucleotide long non-coding RNA is filed under the name Equus caballus (horse). Its description in RNAcentral is "lncRNA (ENSECAG00000049835.1)". The record is from RNAcentral. Lineage: Eukaryota; Metazoa; Chordata; Mammalia; Perissodactyla; Equidae.
GUACUUAUAUGUCUACAAAUAUGCAUCUGCUCAUUCAGUCUUCACAAUGACACCACGAGGUCAAUGAUUAUUUUACUCCCAUUUUACGUUUACGGACACGGGCACUUAGAGCCAGUCAGAAACUCCUCGGAGAGCAUCAUCUUCUGAGGAGCAGCGCGGCACUGGUGGUCUGGGUCCUCGGGCUUCACAGCAGACGGCUGUCGAGGCUAAUGUGCAAGGCAGCGAGGGCAGGCAGCUCUGCUCCCAGCAUCCAGGACUAGGUUAUCACCUCCGAGCCUCAUCUUGCACCAACCUCAGGUGUGGCCGUAGCAAUGUCGCUACACAGUGUGCUCAGAAGAGCGAGAACUUAUGGUAGUAUGGCCUUCCUGGCUGCCCUCAGGGGACUUUGGUGAGAAGCUAAAUUGAGAGCCAGCAGGCCCACCAGGUGAUUCUGCGCGCUGCGUGGGGGUUGGUGGACCACCAGGCCCCUGGAUAAGAAGGAGUUGUGGCUGUCAUGCAGAGAUCUGUGGCCGGAAUCUGAGCUACAAGACUUGGAGACAUGGAGAGACUCAGAGUUAGUGGGGUGCUGAAGCAGAAAGGCCAGUGCCAUCAUGAUGAGGCAUGCAGGUCGAGAUGACCCAGGAGUCAACCCACUGAGUGGCUGAAGAAGCUAGCUGCCAGCAAGAGACCAGGGCAGAAGUGUGACCCGAAAAUACCCCCCAGUGCUGUACCCGGCUGAGAGUCGACACAUCAGACCCAACACAGCUCCAUUGUAAAGUGCCAGGAAAGAAGGAUCGGUGAUGGAGUGCUUUCUUCAAGAAUGUUUUAAAAGAAAUGAAGGCAUUGAAGUUUAAAACACUUGUAUAACUUACCCAGGAUUACUUAGCUGAGAAAUGCUGAAGCUAAGGUGGGAUCUAAUUCCAGGUGGCUUAACUCAAGAUCUUUCUCAUAUCACUUUGUUACUCUCUAUCUCUAGUUAUCUGUAUAUCAUGACAAUUUUUUUACUUAAUUGAUCUAUGUUCUAAACAUGUAUGCUUAGUUUAGUAAUUUUUUGAAGGAGGAAU